UGGGGAAUAUUGCACAAUGGGCGCAAGCCUGAUGCAGCCAUGCCGCGUGUAUGAAGAAGGCCUUCGGGUUGUAAAGUACUUUCAGCGGGGAGGAAGGGAGUAAAGUUAAUACCUUUGCUCAUUGACGUUACCCGCAGAAGAAGCACCGGCUAACUCCGUGCCAGCAGCCGCGGUAAUACGGAGGGUGCAAGCGUUAAUCGGAAUUACUGGGCGUAAAGCGCACGCAGGCGGUUUGUUAAGUCAGAUGUGAAAUCCCCGGGCUCAACCUGGGAACUGCAUCUGAUACUGGCAAGCUUGAGUCUCGUAGAGGGGGGUAGAAUUCCAGGUGUAGCGGUGAAAUGCGUAGAGAUCUGGAGGAAUACCGGUGGCAAAGGCGGCCCCCUGGACGAAGACUGACGCUCAGGUGCGAAAGCGUGGGGAGCAAACA
This 427-nucleotide ribosomal RNA is filed under the name uncultured bacterium. RNAcentral describes it as "partial 16S ribosomal RNA". It matches the Rfam family "Bacterial small subunit ribosomal RNA", at positions 355 to 774 of the family's 1533-position model. The record is from RNAcentral.